UACGUAGGUGGCAAGCGUUGUCCGGAUUUACUGGGCGUAAAGAGCGCGCAGGCGGUCGUUCAAGUCGCGUGUGAAAGCCCCCGGCUCAACUGGGGAGGGUCACGCGAUACUGAUCGACUCGAAGGCAGGAGAGGGAAGUGGAAUUCCCGGUGUAGUGGUGAAAUGCGUAGAUAUCGGGAGGAACACCAGUGGCGAAGGCGGCGCCCUGGCUCGCAACUGACGCUCAGACACGACAGCAUGGGGAGCGAACGGG
Molecule: ribosomal RNA, 253 nt
Filed under: uncultured bacterium
Lineage: Bacteria
Description: partial 16S ribosomal RNA
Rfam family: Bacterial small subunit ribosomal RNA
Source: RNAcentral